UUCUACACUCAUCCCAUUUCAUUCUCACACUUGUCUAAAAAGGAGGGGGGUCUACCAUGAUGGCCAUUUUAAAGACGGGGAAACUGAGGCACAGAGGAAGGAGUCCCUUGGCCAAGUUCACAGAGGGGCAAACCGCAGGGUCAGGGCUGGUCUCAUUUCCAGGGCCAGGACUGCUAACCACCACCCUGCUGCCAGGUAGCCCCAGAAGCUUGCACAGGUUCGCUAAGCCAAAAAGGUUUGACGAAGGCUUGUGGAAUUUUCCUGUGGAUCCUGUGCCCUUUGAUUCUUAUGCCAGAUUACACACCGCAGAUUACGUGCAAGGACGCAGACAAUUGUGUCAGAGGAAGUCGUUAGAGGUACACAGGAGAACUUCGCAGACGGAGAUACUGAGGCCCAGAGCAGGGGGGAGACGCCCCAAGUAUCUCGUGGCAGGUUCAAUUUCUUCUCCGCCGUCACCAUCAUGAUCAUCUCGAAAUAAGAGAGAAAUCUGAAAACGUGAGCUGGGAAUAAGAGACUAUAAUGAACAGUCAGAUUUGAAAAUGAACCAAAGCAAACUGGCAGAAGUGAGAAAUACAAUACUUGUAACUUGGAACUCAAUGGACAGAUUGAACAGCAGAUUAGAUACAGCCAGAGAGGAGUGGUAAACUGUAGAGCCAAAGCAAUGGUCCAGGAGAAUAGAGUGAGGGGGCCUAAGGUACACCUGUUCAGAGUUCCAGAAGUAGAUCAUGGAGUAGGGGAACAGGCAAUGUAUGAAGAGAUAAUGGCCGAUAAUGUUGUAGAAUUGUUGCAAGUACCAAACCUCAGAUCCAGGAAGCCUGGCGAAUCCCAAGCAAGGUAAAUAAAAAGAAAUUUGCAUCUAAAUACAUAUUGCUGAAAUUGCAGAACAUCGCAAAAAAAGAGAAGAUGUUAAAAGCAUCAGAGGAAAAAGGGUCAUCUCCAGGGGAUCAACAGAUCUACAGCUGACUUCUCACUGUUAUCACUGGAAGCCAGAAGACAGUGGAAUUAUGUCUUCAAUGCCCUGAGGAAAAAUGACUGUCAGCAUAGGACUCUAGAGUGUCCUUCGAGAACGAGGGUGAAAUAAAGACUUAUGCAGACAAAUAAAAACUGUGAGAUUUUACCAUCCAGAUAUCCUCACUAAAGAAAAGUCUAAAUGUAAUGUGCUUCAGGCAGAAUAAAAAUUAUGCCAGAGAAAAGGCUAGGUACAUAAGGAAGUGUGGGCAAAGACAUUGGCAAAUAUUUGGAGAGAAACUAAAAAAACAUGGAGUGUACGACUCCACAAUAAUAGUGUCUAAUUUAUGGUAGGACAAAAACGGUCAGUACUAAAAUACUGGACACCACCAUGUAAUUUGGGGAGGGAUGGUCAAAAUUAAGUUUUUCAAUCCCUCCCAUUACUUGGGAGGAGGGCAAAUACAUUGAUUAAGUUUAAACUUUGUUAGUUAAGUGCUCAGUGUUGAAACAGCUAGGAGAAGCAGGAAGAACUAUUCACAGAAUGCAUAACUUCUAAACAAUUAGACAGAAAAAUUAGGAUAAGAAAAGG
RNAcentral lists this long non-coding RNA (1537 nucleotides) under Equus caballus (horse). Its description in RNAcentral is "lncRNA (ENSECAG00000037024.3)". The record is from RNAcentral. Lineage: Eukaryota; Metazoa; Chordata; Mammalia; Perissodactyla; Equidae.